AUUGAACGCUGGCGGCAGGCCUAACACAUGCAAGUCGAGCGGAGCGGCGGACGGGUGAGUAAUGCCUAGGAAUCUACCUGGUAGUGGGGGAUAACGUCCGGAAACAGGCGCUAAUACCGCAUACUAUCAGAUGAGCCUAGGUCGGCUUAGCUGGUUGGUGGGGUAAAGGCCUACCAAGGCGACGAUACGUAACUGGUCUGAGAGGAUGAUCAGUCACACUGGAACUGAGCAACGGGCCAGACUCCUACGUGAGGCAGCAGUGGGGAAUAUUGGACAAUGGGCGAAAGCCUGACCCAGCCAUGCCGCGUGUGUGAAGAAGGUUUUCGGAUUGUAAAGCACUUUAAGUUGGGAGGCGUUACCAACAGAAUAAGCACCGGCUAACUUCGUGCCAGCAGCCGCGGUAAUAC
Molecule: ribosomal RNA, 407 nt
Filed under: uncultured bacterium
Lineage: Bacteria
Description: partial 16S ribosomal RNA
Rfam family: Bacterial small subunit ribosomal RNA
Source: RNAcentral